UCUGUGCAGGGCUUUGAUCUAAUUGACAGA
Molecule: non-coding RNA, 30 nt
Filed under: Homo sapiens (human)
Lineage: Eukaryota; Metazoa; Chordata; Mammalia; Primates; Hominidae
Source: RNAcentral